This is a small nucleolar RNA of Pteropus vampyrus (large flying fox), 72 nucleotides long. The record is from Ensembl. NCBI's taxonomy places the organism in Eukaryota, Metazoa, Chordata, Mammalia, Chiroptera, Pteropodidae.
GGUGCAAAUGAUGAGUCUGUUUUUGACCAAAGCCUGAUUUUUGCUGACUAGUCUUAACUGACUGACUGCACU